Molecule: small nucleolar RNA, 128 nt
Organism: Grammomys surdaster
Lineage: Eukaryota; Metazoa; Chordata; Mammalia; Rodentia; Muridae
Product: small nucleolar RNA SNORA17
Exons: 1
Source: RefSeq, a predicted model, not a curated record
CCUCCCCCUAGAGGCCUUGCAAGUGUGCCUGUGGUAUUACAUUAGAUGGCAGAAAGGAGAAAAGCUAGGUCUACAUACAAUGUAUGAAUAUGAUCUAUGAAUAUCCGAGUGAUUGGUAGCACAACAUU